CCCCAGAUAUUUCAGUUGGGACCGGAC
This 27-nucleotide small RNA is filed under the name Bombyx mori (domestic silkworm). Its description in RNAcentral is "ovarian small RNA-13653". Lineage: Eukaryota; Metazoa; Arthropoda; Insecta; Lepidoptera; Bombycidae. The record is from RNAcentral.